UGGCACCUUAAUUUGCAUGCACCCGCU
Molecule: non-coding RNA, 27 nt
Filed under: Mus musculus (house mouse)
Lineage: Eukaryota; Metazoa; Chordata; Mammalia; Rodentia; Muridae
Source: RNAcentral